GACGCUGGCGGCAUGCCUAACACAUGCAAGUCGAACGAGACCUUCGGGUCUAGUGGCGCACGGGUGCGUAACACGUGGGAAUUUGCCUCGGGGUAUGGAAUAACUCAGGGAAACUUGAGCUAAUACCAUAUAAUGUCUUCGGACCAAAGAUUUAUCGCCCUGAGAUAAGCCCGCGUAGGAUUAGCUAGUUGGUGGGGUAAAGGCUCACCAAGGCGACGAUCCUUAGCUGGUCUGAGAGGAUGAUCAGCCACACUGGGACUGAGACACGGCCCAGACUCCUACGGGAGGCAGCAGUGGGGGAAUAUUGGACAAUGGGCGAAAGCCUGAUCCAGCAAUGCCGCGUGAGUGAUGAAGGCCUUCGGGUUGUAAAGCUCUUUUACUCGGGACGAUAAUGACGGUACCGAGAGAAUAAGCCCCGGCUAACUCCGUG
Molecule: ribosomal RNA, 430 nt
Filed under: uncultured bacterium
Lineage: Bacteria
Description: bacterial SSU rRNA
Rfam family: Bacterial small subunit ribosomal RNA
Source: RNAcentral